GAUGAACGCUGGCGGCGUGCCUAAUACAUGCAAGUCGAGCGAACAGACGAGGAGCUUGCUCCUCUGACGUUAGCGGCGGACGGGUGAGUAACACGUGGAUAACCUACCUAUAAGACUGGGAUAACUUCGGGAAACCGGAGCUAAUACCGGAUAAUAUAUUGAACCGCAUGGUUCAAUAGUGAAAGACGGUUUUGCUGUCACUUAUAGAUGGAUCCGCGCCGCAUUAGCUAGUUGGUAAGGUAACGGCUUACCAAGGCGACGAUGCGUAGCCGACCUGAGAGGGUGAUCGGCCACACUGGAACUGAGACACGGUCCAGACUCCAACGGGAGGCAGCAGUAGGGAAUCUUCCGCAAAGGGCGAAAGCCUGACGGAGCAACGCCGCGUGAGUGAUGAAGGUCUUCGGAUCGUAAAACUCUGUUAUUAGGGAAGAACAAAUGUGUAAGUAACUAUGCACGUCUUGACGGUACCUAAUCAGAAAGCCACGGCUAACUACGUG
Molecule: ribosomal RNA, 497 nt
Filed under: uncultured bacterium
Lineage: Bacteria
Description: partial 16S ribosomal RNA
Rfam family: Bacterial small subunit ribosomal RNA
Source: RNAcentral